UUGGGUCAUACUUGUUAACAUUACACCUAAAGAAAAAUAUUAUUUGCUAUUUUUUUCGUCUGUCAGCAGAUGGAACAAAACAAAAAAAUUUAGCAAGGUUUUUUCAUCAACAUGGCCAAUUUGUUGAAGAACCUGAAGUAAUUUCCAUUACAGACCAACCUAUGCUCAACCUGGCUUAUUAAUGGUAGAGUUGGAAAUAGCAAUAAACAAGGUGCUUUGGGCAUAAGCAAGAUCAUAUUCGCACAUAAUUCACAAGUAAGGGGGUAUUCAUGGACUCAAACACAAGGCUAUCAAGGUCAUGGACCUUGAUGAAGCUCAAGAAAUGAAAAGGAAGUGUAGCUGACUAGAAGUAGAUUCAACUUAGAAUUCUAUCUAGUUCAUUUCAAGUUAAAGUAAUGCUUGUUGGCAAUUGUUAAUUGUUCAGUUUUAGAAAGGGCAAAGAUGGGCAAUAAAAGGCUCAAUUUAACAUAGUCACUUUUAAUAUCCAACAGCAACAAUCCAAAUAACUUGAAAAUGAAUAAACGUUAACCAUCUCAAAAACAUAAUAAAUUAAAUAAGGGAAAGGGUUUCCAAUACUGCAAAUCCAAACAUAAAAAAUCCGAUGAAAACAUGAAAAUUGUAAUAAAUCCAAUCAACAGUUGCCAUAAAUCUAAUUCUACAUUCAUGGAAAUGCACGCCAAGUAUUCCCAUAUUGAUCUCAGCGAGGAGUCUCCCUAUUGUCGAGGCCAUUGUCUGCUUACCCAUAUUACGACUACUAAGUCCAUGGAACUAAAGGCAAGACAGGUAAGCCACUAGCUUAUUUCUAAAUUUCGAUAAAAUCAAGUCUAGCUAGAUCUUGAUUUAGAAAAAAAAAACAUCAAAUACCAAAUAUAGCAACCAAAAGUUGGAAUCUUGAGAAGAAAACCCCAUGUAGCAAAAACCUAGUAUAAUGCUCAACUAAAUAGUCGGUCACCGCAAAGUUUCAAACAGAGACGGAGGAACACAUAUUACAAGACGAAGCAGAAGCCACAGGGGGUUUUGCUGUUUUUAUCCAGCCCCAUGAUGAUCUUCUUGAUCUCUCCGGCGCGAGAGAAGAGCUCGUACAUCUGCUCCUCAGUGGUGUAGAAUGACAUGUUGCCGACGUAGACCGUCGUCGAGGUCUGCAGCGCGCCCUCAUACUCCUCCUGGUUGCCCGGAAACCUCCUGUCCCGGUACGCCGAUAGCUUGGCGAGAUCCUGUCGACAAGCAAACGGGGAGGAAAUCAAUCAAACAACUCUGAAUCAAAAGGAAGAAAAGGCAGCGAGACAAAUUAUCGUCGAACUCGAAGUCCCAACGACCUUGAACAAAGAAGCCAUCUGCUAGGGUUACAGGAGCAUCAGAUCAAGAGUAGGAUUCCGGUCGGUCUACCGAUCAAGCUUGAAGAUGACAAAUGCGCGCGAGUUAGAAAGAGAGAGAAUCUAGGGUUUUAAAGAGGGAAAACUUGGAAGCGAGCAUAAAAGGGGCGAAGCUUAACUGUAGGAGCGUAAAGGACGAAGGGAGGAGCGAACACAGCACAGAGAGAGAGAGAGAGAGAGAGAGAGAGAGAGAGACCCCAACCCCAAAUGCAUACAACUAGUAGACUACUUUGAUAUUACAAAAAGAAAUUUAAUAAAAUAUUAAAUUAUCAAAAACAAAAAAUAUAAGAUCAUCUUCAAGAGUUCCACAAAUGUCCUACUAAGUUCAUGGGGAGGACAAAAAUAAAUAAAUAUCAUGAUAAAUAAUAAUUUAGAAAAAAAAUAUAGUAAAUAUAAAGAGAUAUAUGGGAGUUUUGGUUAUUGGGAGAAAAAUUGAAGAUAAUAGUAUGAUUUUAGAUUUUAUAACUUUGUAUGAUCUUAUAAUUAUUAAUAUAAAAAUUAAUAUUUAAUUAUUCAUAAGAGUGAUCAUAAUUAUAAUCAAAUAAAUUGUUUUCACUAAAAUGAUAUAGAAAGUUAUUUGUAUGAAUUAUAAAAUGAAAUAAUAUUAGAUAUUUAUUAUAAAAAUUAAAAAAAAUUAUUAGAACUAGAUGAUCGAAUUUUAAAAAUAGUAAUGUAAAUACUUUUAAGAAUAAGAUUAAAACCGAUGUUAAUUGAAACUUAGAAGAUGAUAAUAUUAAUAUUGUUUGGACUAACAACGGUUAAUAAGAUUAAAAGCUAACGAAAAAAGAUUUUAUAUAAAUUAAGGAUAGAGGUGUAAUCUUAAGAAUGAGUUAGUGGUAGUGUGAAGAAGUUUAAAAAAUAAUUAUUACUAAAAAUAUCAUAUUUUAAAGAUUGAUAAAAUUUAAAAAAUAGAAAAAAAAUUAAAAAGAUAUAAAUAAUCUAAAAAAGGCUAAAAAUGAUUAAUAUGAUAAAAUAUAAAGCUUAUGAUAAAUUUUAUAAUAAAUUAAAUACUAAAGAUGAUGAAAAAGAUAUAUAUCGAAUUACUAAGGGUGGAAAAAAAAAGUGUAAGGAUUUAGGUAAUAUUAAAUGUAUUAAAGAUGAAGAUCAAACAAUAUUAAUAAAUGAUAACGGGACUAAGAAAAGAUAAAAAUUAUUAUGAAUUAUUUAAUAAAUAUUUCACAUAGUAAAAGAAUAAUGUAUCUAUUAAUUAUAUUAAUAUUAUUAAAAAUAUAUAUAUUAAUGCAGCGACCAAUGUUAGAAUUAUAAGAAGUGUGUUUAGUGAGUUUCCUAUUAGUAUAAGAUUACACUAAAGAAUCGCAUUAAAUUUCUAUGUUUGGAAUUAAUUAUAAACAUGAGUUACGGAGGUAAAUCUUAGAAACUAAAGAUUUUAGAUUAAAUAAGACUAAAAUUAAAUACAUAAAAUAUAAUUAUAAUGAAUUUAAAAAUAAAAAGAGAAUAUAAUUUAAAUUGAAUAAACAAGAAACCCCUUUAAAUAAAAACUUUAGAUAUUUUUGAUUAAUUAUUUAAUAAAAUAAAAAAAUCGAUAAAUAUAUUACUUAUUGAGUGUAAAUAAGAUAUUUAAAAUGUGGAGGGAAACCGAGAGUCUUGAGUGAUUAUCAACUAUCUUUAAGAUUAAAAGUAAAAUUUUAUAAAGUAAUUAUAAGAUCAAUAAUAUUUUAUGGAUUUAAGUGUUAAGCAGUUAAGAAAAAAAUAUAUAAAAAAAUUAUGUUAUCAAGAUGAGAAUAUUGAGAUAAAUAUGUGGAGUUACUAUAAAAAAUAAGAAAAAAAAUACUUUUAUUUAUGGAUAAUUAUGUAUCAUUUUGAUAGAAGAUAAAAUGAGAGAAAAAUUAUUUAAAAUGAUAUGAAUAUAUGUUAAUAAAUAAGACCUUCGGAUGUGAUAAAAAAAAAAAAAAUAUUAGCGGUAUGAAAAAGGUAGAAAAAAACCUA
This 3320-nucleotide long non-coding RNA is filed under the name Musa acuminata (dwarf banana). RNAcentral describes it as "long non-coding RNA (MACU_LNC006574)". Lineage: Eukaryota; Viridiplantae; Streptophyta; Magnoliopsida; Zingiberales; Musaceae. The record is from RNAcentral.